RNAcentral lists this transfer RNA (366 nucleotides) under uncultured Microcystis sp. Its description in RNAcentral is "partial 16S-23S ribosomal RNA intergenic spacer". The stretch from base 137 to 210 matches the Rfam family "tRNA". The record is from RNAcentral. Lineage: Bacteria; Bacillati; Cyanobacteriota; Cyanophyceae; Chroococcales; Microcystaceae.
AAAGGGAGACCUAAUUCAGGUAUGGGAUGAAAAAAAAAGUAGUCCCAACCAAGAAUCAAUCCCAAAAGGUCGGAGCGAGGCGAAAUUGGCUUUCAAACUAGGUUCUGGGUUCAAACAAGACCUGAAUCAGGAACAAGGGCUAUUAGCUCAGGUGGUUAGAGCGCACCCCUGAUAAGGGUGAGGUCCCUGGUUCGAGUCCAGGAUGGCCCACCUGUACAGGUGGCAAAAAGAAAGAAAAGAAGCGAGGAAUCAGCACCUUAUCUUACUUAUAUAGUAAGAGAGAAUGCUGGCUCUGAGUUCAGAGUCCAGAGGAACCUUGAAAACUGCAUAGAGCUAGGUGAAAAAGCCAAAAAAGAAGACCGCAAG